UCGUAACAAGGUUUCCGUAGGUGAACCUGCGGAAGGAUCAUUACCGUGGGGAUUCGUCCCCAUUGAGAUAGCACCCUUUGUUCAUGAGUACCCUUGUUUCCUCGGCGGGCUUGCCCGCCAGUAGGACAUCAAAUAAACCCUUUGCAGUAGCAGUACCCUCAGUUAAUAAUAAAUAUUAAAACUUUCAACAACGGAUCUCUUGGUUCUGGCAUCGAUGAAGAACGCAGCGAAAUGCGAUAAGUAGUGUGAAUUGCAGAAUUCAGUGAAUCAUCGAAUCUUUAAACGCACAUUGCGCCCUUCGGUAUUCCGUUGGGCAUGCCUGUUCGAGCGUCAUUUAAACCUUCAAGCUAUGCUUGGUGUUGGGUGUUUGUUCCGCCUCAGCGCGUGGACUCGCCUCAAAUCCAUUGGCAGCCGGUAUGUUGGCUUCGUGCGCAGCACAUUGCAAGCGAAUCCACCAGACCCCCUUCCAUAAGCCUCUUUUUACUUUGACCUCGGAUCAGGUAGGGAUACCCGCUGAACUUAAGCAUAUCAAUAAGCGGAGGAAAAGAAACCAACAGGGAUUGCCCCAGUAACGGCGAGUGAAGCGGCAAUAGCUCAAAUUUGAAAUCUGGCCCUUUCAGGGUCCGAGUUGUAAUUUGCAGAGGGCGCUUUGGAGUCGGCAGCAGCCUAAGUUCCUUGGAACAGGUCAUCAUAGAGGGUGAGAAUCCCGUAUGUGGCUGCUUGUCUUCGCCGUGUAAAGCCCCUUCGAUGAGUCGAGUUGUUUGGGAAUGCAGCUCUAAAUGGGAGGUAAAUUUCUUCUAAAGCUAAAUAUUGGCCAGAGACCGAUAGCGCACAAGUAGAGUGAUCGAAAGAUGAAAAGUACUUUGGAAAGAGAGUCAAAAAGCACGUGAAAUUGUUGAAAGGGAAGCGCUUGCAGCCAGACGUGCCCGCAGUUGCUCAUCCGGGGUUUUCCCCGGUGCACUCUUCUGUGGGCAGGCCAGCAUCAGUUCGGGCGGUUGGAGAAAGACCUGUGUCACGUAGCUCUCUUCGGGGAGUGUUAUAGGGCAGGUGGAAUGCAACCAGCCUGAACUGAGGUCCGCGCAUCUGCUAGGAUGCUGGCGUAAUGGCUGUAAGCGGCC
RNAcentral lists this ribosomal RNA (1118 nucleotides) under uncultured fungus. RNAcentral describes it as "eukaryotic LSU rRNA". The stretch from base 487 to 1118 matches the Rfam family "Eukaryotic large subunit ribosomal RNA", at positions 1 to 649 of the family's 3401-position model. Lineage: Eukaryota; Fungi. The record is from RNAcentral.